GACGAACGCUGGCGGCGUGCUUAACACAUGCAAGUCGAACGGAAAGGCCCUGCUUUUGUGGGGUGCUCGAGUGGCGAACGGGUGAGUAACACGCGUGUAACCUGCCCUUGACUUUGGGAUAACUUCAGGAAACUGGGGCUAAUACCGGAUAGGAGCUCCUGCUGCAUGGUGGGGGUUGGAAAGUUUCGGCGGUUGGGGCUGGACUCGCGGCUUAUCAGCUUGUUGGUGGGGUAGUUGCUUACCAAGGCUUUGACGGGUAGCCGGCCUGGGAGGGUGACCGGCCACAUUGGGACUGAGAUACGGCCCAGACUCCUACGGGAGGCAGCAGUGGGGAAUAUUGCACAAUGGGCGGAAGCCUGAUGCAGCAACGCCGCGUGCGGGAUGACGGCCUUCGGGUUGUAAACCGCUUUCGCCUGUGACGAAGCGUGAGUGACGGUAAUGGGUAAAGAAGCACCGGCUAACUACGUG
This 468-nucleotide ribosomal RNA is filed under the name uncultured bacterium. Its description in RNAcentral is "partial 16S ribosomal RNA". It matches the Rfam family "Bacterial small subunit ribosomal RNA", at positions 28 to 507 of the family's 1533-position model. The record is from RNAcentral.